Molecule: long non-coding RNA, 633 nt
Filed under: Struthio camelus australis
Lineage: Eukaryota; Metazoa; Chordata; Aves; Struthioniformes; Struthionidae
Description: lncRNA (ENSSCUG00000007134.1)
Source: RNAcentral
AGUGAUCCUAUGCUGUGAUACUGUGUCUGUUUGCCGCAACCUAUCUUAAAUUAUCUUUGUUUACAAGUCAGUUUGUUUUCCAGUGCUGCAAACCUCAAAGGAGAGUGAAAAAUCAGGACUUUUUUUUUCCAUUCAUGAUUUUUCCUCCCUGCUAGCAAAGAACUUGAGAGAUGUCCCAUUUCCCAUGUGUCAUCUGUGGCAGGAACAUUCAGAGCCUUGUUGACUAAGCAAGCAGGGAUGCAAUUAGGAAGCUUUUGAAAUGGGAUGGAAGCAAGCAAAUGGUCAGAAAGUCAUUGAGGAUGAAUGCUCCAAGCACCCCAAAAUAUUUACUUACCUGUGGCUCUGAAGAAGAGUGGUUCAAAGCAAUCCCUGUGCUUCCUGUGGGGAAGCUGGAAAUUUUGCCAGUAUGGAUUCUGAGCCUCUUCAACAUCCGUUGGGAAGUGUGGCAGCCUGGUGAGAGACUUCUUGUUAGGUCUGCCGAGGCUAUUGCGUGUCCAAAAGUUCAAGAGAACACUUGGUUGUUGUGUGGUGUGCAGGAAGGCUGACCCUAUGCAAAGAACUGAUCUUGAUGCGUAGGACUGAGGUUAUCGAGAGAACUUAAAAUAAAUAAAUAAGAAGCCCUCUGUGAAGACA